AUUGAACGCUGGCGGCAGGCUUAACACAUGCAAGUCGAGCGGGGAAAUGUAGCUUGCUACAUUACCUAGCGGCGGACGGGUGAGUAAUGCUUAGGAAUCUGCCUAUUAGUGGGGGACAACAUUUCGAAAGGAAUGCUAAUACCGCAUACGCCCUACGGGGGAAAGCAGGGGAUCCUCGGACCUUGCGCUAAUAGAUGAGCCUAAGUCGGAUUAGCUAGUUGGUGGGGUAAAGGCCUACCAAGGCGACGAUCUGUAGCGGGUCUGAGAGGAUGAUCCGCCACACUGGGACUGAGACACGGCCCAGACUCCUACGGGAGGCAGCAGUGGGGAAUAUUGGACAAUGGGGGGAACCCUGAUCCAGCCAUGCCGCGUGUGUGAAGAAGGCCUUUUGGUUGUAAAGCACUUUAAGCGAGGAGGAGGCUACCUAGAUUAAUACUCUGGGAUAGUGGACGUUACUCGCAGAAUAAGCACCGGCUAACUCUGUGCCAGCAGCCGCGGUAAUACAGAGGGUGCAAGCGUUAAUCGGAUUUACUGGGCGUAAAGCGUGCGUAGGUGGCCAAUUAAGUCAAAUGUGAAAUCCCCGAGCUUAACUUGGGAAUUGCAUUCGAUACUGGUUGGCUAGAGUAUGGGAGAGGAUGGUAGAAUUCCAGGUGUAGCGGUGAAAUGCGUAGAGAUCUGGAGGAAUACCGAUGGCGAAGGCAGCCAUCUGGCCUAAUACUGACACUGAGGUACGAAAGCAUGGGGAGCAAACAGGAUUAGAUACCCUGGUAGUCCAUGCCGUAAACGAUGUCUACUAGCCGUUGGGGUCUUUGAGACUUUAGUGGCGCAGCUAACGCGAUAAGUAGACCGCCUGGGGAGUACGGUCGCAAGACUAAAACUCAAAUGAAUUGACGGGGGCCCGCACAAGCGGUGGAGCAUGUGGGUUUAAUUCGAUGCAACGCGAAGAACCUUACCUGGUCUUGACAUAGUAAGAACUUUCCAGAGGAUGGGUUGGUGCCUU
Molecule: ribosomal RNA, 1000 nt
Filed under: uncultured bacterium
Lineage: Bacteria
Description: bacterial SSU rRNA
Rfam family: Bacterial small subunit ribosomal RNA
Source: RNAcentral